GACGAACGCUGGCGGCGUGCUUAACACAUGCAAGUCGAACGGAAAGGCCCUGCUUUUGUGGGGUGCUCGAGUGGCGAACGGGUGAGUAACACGUGAGUAACCUGCCCUUGACUUUGGGAUAACUUCAGGAAACUGGGGCUAAUACCGGAUAGGAGCUCCUGCUGCAUGGUGGGGGUUGGAAAGUUUCGGCGGUUGGGGAUGGACUCGCGGCUUAUCAGCUUGUUGGUGGUGUAGUGGCUUACCAAGGCUUUGCCGGGUAGCCGGCCUGAGAGGGUGACCGGCCACAUUGGGACUGAGAUACGGCCCAGACUGCUACGGGAGGCAGCAGUGGGGAAUAUUGCACAAUGGGCGGAAGCCUGAUGCAGCAACGCCGCGUGCGGGAUGACGGCCUGCGGGUUGUAAACCGCUUUCGCCUGUGACGAAGCGUGAGUGGCGGUAAUGGGUAAAGAAGCACCGGCUAACUACGUG
This 468-nucleotide ribosomal RNA is filed under the name uncultured bacterium. RNAcentral describes it as "partial 16S ribosomal RNA". It matches the Rfam family "Bacterial small subunit ribosomal RNA", at positions 28 to 507 of the family's 1533-position model. The record is from RNAcentral.